RNAcentral lists this ribosomal RNA (700 nucleotides) under uncultured bacterium. RNAcentral describes it as "bacterial SSU rRNA". It matches the Rfam family "Bacterial small subunit ribosomal RNA", at positions 94 to 824 of the family's 1533-position model. The record is from RNAcentral.
AGUGGCGGACGGGUGAGUAACACGUAAGAAUUUGCCUUUAGGAGGGGGACAACAGAGGGAAACAGCUGCUAAUACCCCAUAUGCUUUCGAGUGAAAUGGAUUUUUCCGCCUAGAGAGAAGCUUGGGGCUGAUUAGCUUGUUGGUAAGGUAAUGGCUUACCAAGGCGACGAUCAGUAUCUGGUUUGAGAGGACGAUCAGACCCACUGGAACUGAGACACGGUCCAGACUCCUACGGGAGGCAGCAGUGGGGAAUUUUCCGCAAUGGGCGAAAGCCUGACGGAGCAAUCUCGCGUGAGGGAUGACUGCCUAUGGGUUGUAAACCUCUUUUUUCAGGGAGGAAUCAAUGACGUGUACCUGAAGAAUAAGCAUCGGCUAACUCCGUGCCAGCAGCCGCGGUAAGACGGAGGAUGCAAGUGUUAUCCGGAAUCACUGGGCGUAAAGCGUCUGUAGGUGGUUUAAUAAGUCAACUGUUAAAUCUUGAAGCUCAACUUCAAAAUCGCAGUCGGAACUAUUAGACUAGAGUAUAGUAGGGGUAAAGGGAAUUUCCAGUGGAGCGGUGAAAUGCGUAGAGAUUGGAAAGAACACCGAUGGCGAAGGCACUUUACUGGGCUAUUACUGACACUCAGAGACCAAAGCUAGGGUAGCAAAUGGGAUUAGAUACCCCAGUAGUCCUAGCCGUAAACAAUGGAUACUACAUGUU